This 1522-nucleotide unclassified non-coding RNA is filed under the name Orussus abietinus. RNAcentral's name for it is "cUE domain-containing protein 1, transcript variant X1". The record is from RNAcentral. Lineage: Eukaryota; Metazoa; Arthropoda; Insecta; Hymenoptera; Orussidae.
UUGGUCGUCUGGUGCACGGGUCGCCGUCGAGGGUGGCAGGUUAUUGCCGUCGAGAUUCGAGAUCGUUGACUGUCAUCGGGGACAUUUAACCGGACAUUAAACGUUACAUCAUGGCAUCGGCAACGGAGCAACAGCAACAGACCACCUUGGAAUUCUAUCAGGCAAUGGCAGAUUUUAAAAACAUGUUUCCACAGAUGGACGACGACGUUAUCGAGGCGGUUUUGCGAUCGAACCAAGGAGCAGUAGACACGACGAUCGAUCAGCUACUUACGAUGAGUACGGAUAACGAGAACGAGAAAAUUAGAGGCGAACUGGAGCAAAACGAGGAACCGCCAAAGGUGAUCUCGAGACCAGGAAAGGAGGACAACAGCGAUUCACUGAAAAGUAUCCACAAGUGGCAACCACCGCUGUUGGGACCAUUACCUGAUAAUUUCCUAAGGCUUCCUCAACAAUUGACCGAAGAAUCCGAUAGCAUACAAGCCUUGGUCGCUUCCGAGAAUACGAGGCUCGAUGACGAAAGGAUCGUUAUGUUUCUUCAAAAUGAAGAAUUCAUGGCAGAGUUGCGAUGGAACGAGGACUUUUUAUUGACACUGGAGAAUGAUGCAAAGGUGCAGCGAGCUGAACUCGAGAACGGUGGAGAUUCGAUCACCCACGACGACGAAGACUUGUUUAAAGAGAGAUUGAAAAACAUGGGGAAAGUGUCGCGCCGGAAAUUUGCCCAGCUGACGAAGGUGUUCACUCGUAGUAAGAAGAAAAAUGGACGUCACCUCUUGCCUCCGACAGCAUCCUGCGACGACCUCUUAGAUCCCGAAGACUCGACAAGAUCUCAGUCUUAAUUCAGUGCUGCCCCAACAAAGUCAAUUUUAAACAUAUUCCAAUGUGACUCAUCGAUUAACAGUUACGGGUGUUAACGACAGGAAUCUGUUGCAGCUAUAAACACUCUAGAUUAAAGUCAUUUUGUCUACGACGCAAUGGAGGACAGUCGAGCACUUGAGGGAUAGAAAAGGUAACAUUUGUGACGAGUCAAAGGGGACUACACAUUGCAGGAAAUGAAUGGACAUUGUUUUGAAGAGGAAACUGCAAGAUAAUAGUAAAACAGCUUUGUAAUUUACAACGGUAUAACCAACGGUCUGGAGUCUAUUUUCCUUUAAUAAAAUAAUAUCUUAUGUUCUUAGAAUACAUUGGUUAAUAAUUCUAUUAAUGCCAGUGAUAAUAUAUCGUACUCAUUUUGGGUAAUUAAUUCCUUACUGUGAUUGGUAUUCCGUUAUCUCGGAAUCUCACUAGAUUGCUAAAUAUGUUCAGUUAAGUUAGCAUUCGGCAAUGUAAUUCAAGCAAGUUUAAAUAAAAAGUUAUAUUUAGUUUUUACAGAUGCCUUUGCAUCCACUUCUUGAGGUCCAUGAGCCAUGUUCCUAGAUUAGCGAUAAGUUAGAGUGCAUUAAAAGCCCUAAAUUUCUUACGGAUAAAAUUAAAAUUAUUGUAGCUCUAAAAAUUUAGCACCGCAAACGUGAUGGGAGCUGCGUGU